RNAcentral lists this long non-coding RNA (2496 nucleotides) under Olea europaea (common olive). Its description in RNAcentral is "long non-coding RNA (OEUR_LNC001058)". Lineage: Eukaryota; Viridiplantae; Streptophyta; Magnoliopsida; Lamiales; Oleaceae. The record is from RNAcentral.
CUGCAUUGUAGCAUAGUUAAAGACGCAUGUUAAUGAAAGAAAUCCAUAGCAUAAAAUAUACUUAAAGAGAGACAGCAGAAGAGAUGAUAGUUUCUAGUUUCUACGAGUGUGCAUUCAUUACAAAAAAGAAGAGAUCGAGAAGGGAGGCUGAGAAAAAGGAUCCAUAUUUCCCGUUUCAAUUGUUUCAUAAAAGGAAACUCUGACUCUAUUCUACAUUACUUUUACAUUGGUUCCCUCUCAGACAACUUGUUAAUGAAUACAGCACAAAUGAGUACGUAUGAUGCUCACAUAAUAACUUUCUCUGGUCCAUGAAUUGUCGAGAGUAUAAAAACUUGUUCUACAUUUAACAUCCACAGGCCUUUCUGUGUAGAAAAGAAAAAAAUCCACAGGACUUUCUAUCACUAGAGCACACCUGGAAAUGCCAUGUUGGUUUAGCUUAAUAGCAGCCCUAUAAAGGAUUUCACGACAAUUAUAUCAACUUAAAGAGAACUACGCACGUUACAACCUGUUUCUUUAUAAGCAGGACUAAGAAUAUAGGAGUUCUAUAUAUGUGUGAGUGCAUGAAAACCUAAAAGGAAAUUAAUGCUCAUGGUUAUACCUUGUUCCCAAUUACUGGAGAAUCAUCCGCAAACCAGGUAUCCUGCCUCUCGGACUGGCAGUGAGCAAAGCAUGAAUUUAGGAAUAACCCAUUUUGUCUAGAUUUGGCAAAGCCUUUUACUGCAUUCAUCAUAUGAGCCCUAAAACCUGCUUAACAACAGUUUUUAUCGAUCGAUUCAUUCUCCUUGGAUAUGAAUACAAGAUUAAGAAAUAUCAAGCAGAUACAGUCACUCACCUUGCAGAAAUUGGAUUUGGGAUGAUGAACAUCGUGCAUUGUUCAUUUUACAGUCGUGCCAAUUACCACGAGGAUCAGCUACCGAAGGAGCCAAGCUUUCUUGGACCUAAAUAAGAAAUAAAAACAGAGAUUUAAUUUACUACAUUUGUUAUUCAUAUUAUUAGCAAGUCUUUGAUUUCUUAACGAUCGAAUCUAAUCUAGUAAGAGGCCCCCAUUGAUUAGAACAGAAAAUUGCGGAACUAAGCCCACCCCAAAACGAGUGCUCUCCUAUUUGCACUUCCCCAGAGCUCUACCAAUACAGUUGUCAGUCAUAUUAUUUUACAAGUACCUAAUCUACGCGAUUGAAAGCUGUUAAACCUCUACUGUAUUUCCAAGAUAAACUGAAAUAAAUUAUUACCUGCCAUGAAUCAUAAGCAGCAUUGAGAAUGAACAGAGGGGUUCUGACGUUGGCAAUUAAAUUCUGAGGGAAGAAGCACUAUACACAAAAAAAAGAUAUGAAAUCGUAAAUGGCUAAUUGCUAAACUAGAAAAACAUAGUAAGAAUUUCAUUAUCUUCUCAACCAAAAACAACAAAAAAAUAGUCUCACCGAAGUUGGAUCCAGAUGAUUGGUACAAGUGCUUGGCAGAUUCCUCUGGACACCCUAUUAAAAUUUGUGGGAACUUGAAGCAUUAAUUUGAGGUGUCAUGUCUAGUACAAAUUGUUUCAAAUUUCAAACAUGUUGAGGGGCGCUGUUGGAAACUUGCUGGAUAAAAGUGUGAUUUUAAAAGGAGAAAAAAACUACAUCCUAUUGCGACAAACUUCAGCGUUUAGAAAAGGAAAUGUUCAAGUGGGAUAGAUAUAAGGACUGGAAAAGAGAGCACUAUCAGUGACCCUCUCACAUUGUUUAGCCAAAGGUUUUAUGCUCUGUUGAAUUCCAAAAACUGUUAUUUUUCCUAUUCAUAUCACCUUUGGUCCAAAACCACAACCGACCCUUAGUUUACUUUUGUCCAUUCCGCUUAUUUUCCUAGGAAUUCCAAAUUCUUCAGUUAAUUCUUUGGUUCAAUGCAUAAUAAUUAAUUUUUGGACUCUUUAUCAAAAAGUAUAAUUACCCAAACUGUCUCUAGUUUGUUGUGUUCUUCUCAAACUGCAAAAACACACAUCAAAAUGAACUUGCAUCGCCCAUCGACUGUUUCUCUCUUUUAUCCAUCCUAUAUUUUCUAUUCCACAAAUUGCCUACUUGAGCAUAACCUUUUGCAUGUUGGACGCAACCAAGAAUAUAGGAGUUCUAUAUUUGUGUGUGUGCAUGAAAACCUAAAAGGAAAUUCAUACUCAUGGUUAUACCUUGUUCCCAAUUACUGGAGAAUCAUCCGCAAACCAGGUAUCCUGCCUCUCGGACUGGCAGUGAGCAAAGCAUGAAUUUAGGAAUAGCCCAUUUUGUCUAGAUUUCGCAAAGCCUUUUACUGCAUUCAUCAUAUGAGCCCUAAAACCUGCUCAACAACAGUUUUUAUUGAUCGAUUCAUUCUCCUUGGAUAUGAAAACAAGAUUAAGAAAUAUCAAGCAGAUACAGUCACUCACCUUGCAGAAAUUGGAUUUGGGAUGCUGAACAUCGUGCAUUGUUCAUUUUACAGUCGUGCCAAUUACCACGAGGAUCAGCUAUCGGAGGAGCCAAGCUUUCUUGGACCUAA